CCCCCCCCAGAAAGCGUGCCCGCAGGCAACGACCCGAAGGGCGAAGCGCGCAGCGCUGAGUCAUCCUUCCCCCACCACCA
RNAcentral lists this small RNA (80 nucleotides) under Salmonella enterica subsp. enterica serovar Typhimurium. RNAcentral describes it as "partial RtT sRNA". It matches the Rfam family "RtT RNA", at positions 52 to 130 of the family's 130-position model. From Rfam's summary of the family: This family represents a bacterial cis-regulatory element known as RtT RNA. The exact function of RtT is unknown although it is thought that it may be involved in changing the cellular response in relation to amino acid starvation. The record is from RNAcentral. Lineage: Bacteria; Pseudomonadati; Pseudomonadota; Gammaproteobacteria; Enterobacterales; Enterobacteriaceae.